AUUGAACGCUGGCGGAAUGCUUUACACAUGCAAGUCGAACGGCAGCACGGGGGCAGCCCUGGUGGCGAGUGGCGAACGGGUGAGUAAUACAUCGGAACGUGCCCGGUCGUGGGGGAUAACGUAGCGAAAGUUACGCUAAUACCGCAUACGAUCUGAGGAUGAAAGCGGGGGACCUUCGGGCCUCGCGCGAUCGGAGCGGCCGAUGUCAGAUUAGGUAGUUGGUGGGGUAAAGGCCUACCAAGCCGACGAUCUGUAGCUGGUCUGAGAGGACGACCAGCCACACUGGGACUGAGACACGGCCCAGACUCCUACGGGAGGCAGCAGUGGGGAAUUUUGGACAAUGGGCGCAAGCCUGAUCCAGCCAUUCCGCGUGCAGGACGAAGGCCUUCGGGUCGUAAACUGCUUUUGUACGGAACGAAAAGGUUCUGGCUAAUACCUGGGGCUCAUGACGGUACCGUAAGAAUAAGCACCGGCUAACUACGUG
This 484-nucleotide ribosomal RNA is filed under the name uncultured bacterium. Its description in RNAcentral is "partial 16S ribosomal RNA". It matches the Rfam family "Bacterial small subunit ribosomal RNA", at positions 30 to 507 of the family's 1533-position model. The record is from RNAcentral.